UACAUUUUUAUUUGGAAAAGAACAAAACCUUCCAACCCUCCACCACCACUGCCCACCUUCCUGCUCAUACUCCUUUCUUCUAAACCCUAACCCUAAUUCUCGUUUAGUCCGUCAAGCAUGGAAGCUUCAAUGACUCUCUCACGCAUUGGCCUCGCUGGCCUAGCCGUCAUGGGCCAAAACCUCGCCCUCAACAUUGCCGAGAAAGGCUUCCCCAUUUCUGUUUACAACCGAACCACCACCAAAGUCGACGAGACACUGGAGAGAGCUCAGCAAGAAGGCAACCUCCCACUCACCGGUCACUAUUCACCUCGUGAUUUUGUCCUCUCUCUUCAACGCCCUAGAUCCGUCAUCAUACUUGUCAAGGCCGGAUCCCCCGUCGAUCAGACCAUCGCCGCUCUCUCUGAAUUCAUGGAGGCCGGCGACUGCAUCAUCGACGGUGGCAAUGAAUGGUACGAGAACACAGAGCGCCGAAUGCGCGAAGUGGCAGAUCGCGGUAUUCUCUAUCUGGGUAUGGGCGUUUCAGGUGGAGAAGAGGGUGCCCGUCAUGGGCCUUCGCUCAUGCCCGGGGGGUCGUACCAGGCCUACUUGAAUAUCGAGGACAUAGUUAAGAAGGUCGCCGCACAGGUCGAAGAUGGGCCUUGUGUGACGUACAUAGGUGAAGGAGGGUCUGGGAAUUUCGUCAAGAUGGUUCAUAAUGGCAUCGAGUAUGGUGAUAUGCAGCUGAUAUCAGAAGCCUACGAUGUCUUGAAGACUGUCGGUGGGUUGUCGAAUGCCGAAUUGGCAGAUAUCUUCGCCCACUGGAACAGGGGAGAGCUGGAGAGCUUCUUGAUUGAGAUAACAGCUGAUAUUUUCAGGGUUAAGGACGAAUAUGGCGAAGGUGAGUUGGUGGAUAAGAUCUUAGAUAAAACGGGGAUGAAGGGAACCGGGAAAUGGACGGUUCAACAGGCAGCAGAGUUGAUGGUUGCUGCGCCCACAAUUGCUGCCUCGUUGGAUUGCAGAUACUUGAGUGGGUUGAAGGAAGAGAGGGAAGCUGCGUCGGAUGUUUUGAGAGAGGCUGGCAUGCGGGAGGAUGUUGGAGCAGUAAGGAGUGGCAUCGAUAAGAAGAGGUUGAUUGAUGAUGUGAGGCAGGCAUUGUACGCUUCGAAGAUUUGUAGCUAUGCUCAAGGGAUGAAUUUGUUGAGGGCAAAGAGUGUGGAGAAGGGUUGGAAUCUUACUUUGGGCGAAUUGGCGAGGAUCUGGAAAGGCGGUUGCAUUAUAAGAGCUGUGUUCUUGGACCGUAUUAAGAAAGCAUACCAGCGGAAUCCUCAAUUGGCAAGUUUACUUGUUGAUCCUGAGUUUGCAAGAGAGAUAGUGCAGAGGCAGGCAGCUUGGAGGAGGGUAGUUGGUUUGGCAAUAGCGGCGGGGAUUAGCACUCCAGGAAUGUCUGCCAGUCUUUCUUACUUUGACACGUACAGGCGGGCAAGGCUUCCUGCAAACCUUGUCCAGGCACAGAGGGACUUGUUUGGGGCCCAUACUUACGAGCGCAUUGAUCGUCCAGGAUCAUUCCAUACUGAAUGGACAAAGCACGCCAGGCAGAGUAGAGCUAGUAUUGGUGCUUUUAACUGAUCUUUGCUCUUUCCCUGUUCACUAGUUAAUCUGUUUGAAGUUGGAAGCGAUGUUGUUAUCAGUACGUAGCAGGGAAAUACUUCGUCAUUUGUCUAUAUGAACAUUAAAUCAUUAAUGAAUGCAACUAAAGACAUUGUCAUCCCGGCAAAUGGGUGAAACUAACAACAAGAUGUUAGUAGCCUCUUUGAUGCAUUGAGUAUGCAUUUGCAGGGUUGUCAUGAAAGGGAGUUUGUGUGAACUCUAAGAGUCCAUCUUCUUGCAUUGUAUGUCUGAUUACUCUUACAUUUUAUCUAUGGUAUUACAUGCUACAUAGUACAGGGAACUUGGGUGCACGUGAAGUUAACUGAUCAUGGCCAUACCAAGAAAGCCUGUUAUCUCUAUUGGUUCGAUCCCACACCUCCUUGAUUGAUUACUCUUAAAUUAAUGCAAUAUUUCUUAUUGAUAAGAAAAGGUAAUUUUCGGAUAUAUCCGUUAGACUUCAA
This is an RNA transcript of Nelumbo nucifera (sacred lotus), 2087 nucleotides long. It is a transcript of the gene named 6-phosphogluconate dehydrogenase, decarboxylating 3, chloroplastic, with no coding region annotated. The record is from RefSeq and is a predicted model, not a curated record. NCBI's taxonomy places the organism in Eukaryota, Viridiplantae, Streptophyta, Magnoliopsida, Proteales, Nelumbonaceae.